UUCGUUUAUUAUUCCUCUACACUGUCAGGUGUUCGUUUAUUAUUCCUCUACACUGUCAGGUGUUCGUUUAUUAUUCCUCUACACUGUCAGGUGUUCGUUUAUUAUUCCUCUACACUGUCAGGUGUUUGUUUAUUAUUCCUCUACACUGUCAGGUGUUAGUUUAUUAUUCCUCUACACUGUCAGGUGUUCGUUUAUUAUUCCUCUACACUGUUAGGUGUUUGUUUAUUAUUCCUCUACACUGUCAGGUGUUCGUUUAUUAUUCCUCUACACUGUCAGGUGUUAGUUUAUUAUUCCUCUACACUGUCAGGUGUUUGUUUAUUAUUCCUCUACACUGUCAGGUGUUUGUUUAUUAUUC
Molecule: long non-coding RNA, 355 nt
Organism: Oncorhynchus keta (chum salmon)
Lineage: Eukaryota; Metazoa; Chordata; Actinopteri; Salmoniformes; Salmonidae
Exons: 3
Source: RefSeq, a predicted model, not a curated record